RNAcentral lists this long non-coding RNA (2047 nucleotides) under Pan troglodytes (chimpanzee). RNAcentral describes it as "lincRNA". Lineage: Eukaryota; Metazoa; Chordata; Mammalia; Primates; Hominidae. The record is from RNAcentral.
GAGGCGGGAGCCCCGAAUGCGGUUCUCGCUUGCUGCGUGGCGGUAAAGGACCGCAGGUGUCGUAAAAGGGCCGCAGUGGCAGCGCCCUGGCCGACGGCUAGUAGCCCAUUUUGGAUACCGUCCUCGCUGCGGAAAGUUGGGGCAACCUGUUGCCAGUCUGGUCGUUGGUGACAGCGAGGCUUCCGCGCUCGCUGCUGGUGAGCAGCCCCGGCGUGCCCCGCGGACUGGAAGAGGCGGCGGCGUGAUGCGGCCCGUGGACGCGGACGAGGCGCGGGAGCCCCGCGAGGACCCGGGCAGCCCGCUGAGCCCCGCGCCCCGCGCCGGCCGCGAGAACCUGGCCUCCCUGGAGCGCGAGCGCGCCCGGGCGCACUGGCGGGCCCGCAGGAAGCUGCUGGAGAUCCAGAGCCUGCUCGACGCCAUCAAGAGCGAGGUGGAGGCAGAGGAGCGGGGCGCCCGGGCCCCAGCACCCCGCCCGCGUGCGGAGGCUGAGGAGCGGGUGGUCAGGCUGUGCGCCGAGGCAGAGAGGAAGGCCGCGGAGGCGGCGCGGAUGGGCAGGCGGAUCGUGGAGCUGCACCAGCGGAUCGCCGGCUGCGAGUGCUGCUGAGCCGGCGGGACCGCGCGGGUCUGGAGCGGAGCGCGGCGGGGAGUGUCCCGCGUGGAAGGCGCUGGGUAGGCAGGGAGGGGAGCGCAGAGCCGUGCCACGCUCUCCGCCGAGUUGGUUUCAUUCUUUUUUCAUAGGUAAUUAGAGAAAAUAAUUUGAUAUGUUGUUGUAAAGAGUCAUGACCACUGAAAGUAUUUUCAGGACGUAGACCUGCUGGGUCACUAGGUGGGGGGAGAGAGGUGUGAAGCGGAGGUACAUGCUGGAAACGUGUGAAUGUUGUUACGAGAUUGGAGCGUUUGCGAUGACCUUCUUGCAGGUGGAAGCAUUGUGCACAGGUGGUUGGGUUUGUUUGACUCCCGGAUAUGAGAAUAUCAAGCUCAAAAUUUAUGUUGUGAUGAUGAAUUUCUCCCACUUGUACUUUAGGUGGCCAACUGACGAACUGUGUUCACCUGAUAAGGAGUCCUGGCUGCUUGGACAGGCUCAAACCAAGAGAGCCUUUCGUUUUGUCUCCCCUGUUUUUCUGCCUGCGUUUUCUCCACAUUAGCCACUCAAUUUCCAGUACCAUCCUGGCGGAUGACUUCAGCAUUAGAUGGUCAGGUGUAUUUUUUUAUUAAUAGGCGCAUUCAGUUUGGAAAAGACAGCUUUUCAUUAAUGUCCCACGUAAAGGAAUAUGGCCUAUACAGUACGUACGCUGCUGCGUGGUCAUAUUUGUUCCUGUGAUCUUAUUGUAUUUUCAAAGUUUGGAAGUAUACUCGUGUGCUUUGCUAUUUUUUUAUGCUUCCUGGAAUUUGGGGACCCAUGAGAGACUUGAGGUUAGAGUUCUGCAAGUGAGAAGACACUACAUGGUUGCAGCUGCCACAUGAAGAACCCAAGCUCCUGUCAAAGUUGUGAAUGCGACUUUGGAUGAGAUUAAGAAGGCCCAGUGGACGGUUGGUCUUGAAGAGUGGCAGUGUGUGGAUUUGAGGACCUCUGCAGACCAUCAGAUCAAAGGAGGGAGAGCUGUUUUGGGUGUUUUGUUUUUUUUGUUUUUAUAGCAUUUUGCUUUUUCCUGGAAUGUAAUUUUCCUGUGGCAUGUUAACUGGUGCACAUCGUGUGUAACCUGUCUGGUGAGCAACCUACAAUUGGGAUGAGUUCUAGGUACAUGUGUUUGCUGACUUUGGGGUAAACAACUUUGUUAUAAUACAGUCUCUGCCACAGAUGCAUGUGACCCCUUCAGGGGCCCAGAGUGGCUGAGGAAGGAAAGCUUCAAGCUGGCCAUGGGGGUCCCAAACAGUCAUUCCAGGCUUAGAUGAUGACUAGCCUAGGUCAUCAGAGCCCAGACUCCACAGAGACUAAAAUCAGAGCUCUGUCUUGUUAUGAUAAAUUUCAUUUGCUUGGAAAAACAAAUGCUGAAAGCCAGUUUUUAGAAUCUUUGUGCAGAUGACCAAAGCAAUUGACUUGGCCAAG